Molecule: ribosomal RNA, 404 nt
Filed under: uncultured bacterium
Lineage: Bacteria
Description: bacterial SSU rRNA
Rfam family: Bacterial small subunit ribosomal RNA
Source: RNAcentral
UUUUGGACAAUGGGCGCAAGCCUGAUCCAGCCAUGCCGCGUGAGUGAAGAAGGCCUUCGGGUUGUAAAGCUCUUUCGGUGAAGACGAAACGGUUAGUGCUAAUAACACUGACUAAUGACGGUACUCACAGAAGAAGCACCGGCUAACUACGUGCCAGCAGCCGCGGUAAUACGUAGGGUGCAGGCGUUAAUCGGAAUUACUGGGCGUAAAGCGUGCGCAGGCGGUUUGCUAAGACAGGUGUGAAAUCCCCGAGCUUAACUUGGGAAUUGCGCUUGUAACUGGCAAGCUAGAGUGUGGCAGAGGGGGGUGGAAUUCCACGUGUAGCAGUGAAAUGCGUAGAUAUGUGGAGGAACACCGAUGGCGAAGGCAGCCCCCUGGGUUAACACUGACGCUCAUGCACGAAG